ACGGGAGGCAGCAGUGGAGAAUCUUGCACAAUGGGCGAAAGCCUGAUGCAGCAACGCCGCGUGAAGGAAGAAGGCCCUUGGGUCGUAAACUUCUUUUCUAAGGGAAGAUAAUGACGGUACCUUAGGAACAAGUCCCGGCUAACUACGUGCCAGCAGCCGCGGUAAUACGUAGGGGGCGAGCGUUAUCCGGAAUUAUUGGGCGUAAAGAGUACGUAGGUGGUUUCCUAAGCAUGGGGUUUAAGGCAAUGGCUUAACUAUUGUUCGCCCCAUGAACUGGGUUACUUGAGUGCAGGAGAGGAAAGCGGAAUUCCUAGUGUAGCGGUGAAAUGCGUAGAUAUUAGGAGGAACACCAGUGGCGAAGGCGGCUUUCUGGACUGUAACUGACACUGAGGUACGAAAGUGUGGGGAGCAAACAGGAUUAGAUACCCUGGUA
This 433-nucleotide ribosomal RNA is filed under the name uncultured Anaerovorax sp. RNAcentral describes it as "bacterial SSU rRNA". It matches the Rfam family "Bacterial small subunit ribosomal RNA", at positions 341 to 792 of the family's 1533-position model. The record is from RNAcentral. Lineage: Bacteria; Bacillati; Bacillota; Clostridia; Peptostreptococcales; Anaerovoracaceae.